UACGAAGGUCCCGAGCGUUGUUCGGAAUCACUGGGCGUAAAGGGAGCGUAGGCGGCGUGGUAAGUCAGAUGUGAAAUCCCGGGGCUCAACCCCGGAACUGCAUCCGAUACUGCCGUGCUCAGAGGAUUGGAGAGGUAGCUGGAAUUCACGGUGUAGCAGUGAAAUGCGUAGAGAUCGUGAGGAACACUCGUGGCGAAAGCGAGCUACUGGACAACUCCUGACGCUGAGGCUCGAAGGCCAGGGUAGCGAAAGGG
RNAcentral lists this ribosomal RNA (254 nucleotides) under uncultured Luteolibacter sp. RNAcentral's name for it is "partial 16S ribosomal RNA". It matches the Rfam family "Bacterial small subunit ribosomal RNA", at positions 524 to 776 of the family's 1533-position model. The record is from RNAcentral. Lineage: Bacteria; Pseudomonadati; Verrucomicrobiota; Verrucomicrobiia; Verrucomicrobiales; Verrucomicrobiaceae.